Molecule: transfer RNA, 94 nt
Filed under: Candidatus Gallacutalibacter pullicola
Lineage: Bacteria; Bacillati; Bacillota; Clostridia; Eubacteriales
Description: tRNA-Leu
Rfam family: tRNA (bases 30-91)
About the family: Transfer RNA (tRNA) molecules are approximately 80 nucleotides in length. Their secondary structure includes four short double-helical elements and three loops (D, anti-codon, and T loops).
Source: RNAcentral
GGAUUAAAUUUUUCAGGUUAUCAUAAAAUUAGUUAUUGGAGCUACCUGACUUUUAAUCAGGGUGUCCGGGGUUCAAAUCCCCGAUGGUUCACCA